GUGAACGCUGGCGGUAGGCCUAACACAUGCAAGUCGAACGGCAGCACAGUAAGAGCUUGCUCUUACGGGUGGCGAGUGGCGGACGGGUGAGGAAUACAUCGGAAUCUACUUUUUCGUGGGGGAUAACGUAGGGAAACUUACGCUAAUACCGCAUACGACCUACGGGUGAAAGCAGGGGAUCUUCGGACCUUGCGCGAUUGAAUGAGCCGAUGUCGGAUUAGCUAGUUGGCGGGGUAAAGGCCCACCAAGGCGACGAUCCGUAGCUGGUCUGAGAGGAUGAUCAGCCACACUGGAACUGAGACACGGUCCAGACUCCUACGGGAGGCAGCAGUGGGGAAUAUUGGACAAUGGGCGCAAGCCUGAUCCAGCCAUACCGCGUGGGUGAAGAAGGCCUUCGGGUUGUAAAGCCCUUUUGUUGGGAAAGAAAAGCAGCAGGUUAAUACCGCGCUGUUCUGACGGUACCCAAAGAAUAAGCACCGGCUAACUUCGU
This 490-nucleotide ribosomal RNA is filed under the name uncultured bacterium. RNAcentral's name for it is "partial 16S ribosomal RNA". It matches the Rfam family "Bacterial small subunit ribosomal RNA", at positions 29 to 506 of the family's 1533-position model. The record is from RNAcentral.